RNAcentral lists this ribosomal RNA (1348 nucleotides) under Arthrobacter sp. SAUBC2-6. RNAcentral describes it as "bacterial SSU rRNA". It matches the Rfam family "Bacterial small subunit ribosomal RNA", at positions 94 to 1450 of the family's 1533-position model. Lineage: Bacteria; Bacillati; Actinomycetota; Actinomycetes; Micrococcales; Micrococcaceae. The record is from RNAcentral.
AGUGGCGAACGGGUGAGUAACACGUGAGUAACCUGCCCUUAACUCUGGGAUAAGCCUGGGAAACUGGGUCUAAUACCGGAUAUGACUGAUCAUCGCAUGGUGGUUGGUGGAAAGCUUUUUGUGGUUUUGGAUGGACUCGCGGCCUAUCAGCUUGUUGGUGAGGUAAUGGCUUACCAAGGCGACGACGGGUAGCCGGCCUGAGAGGGUGACCGGCCACACUGGGACUGAGACACGGCCCAGACUCCUACGGGAGGCAGCAGUGGGGAAUAUUGCACAAUGGGCGAAAGCCUGAUGCAGCGACGCCGCGUGAGGGAUGACGGCCUUCGGGUUGUAAACCUCUUUCAGUAGGGAAGAAGCGAAAGUGACGGUACCUGCAGAAGAAGCGCCGGCUAACUACGUGCCAGCAGCCGCGGUAAUACGUAGGGCGCAAGCGUUAUCCGGAAUUAUUGGGCGUAAAGAGCUCGUAGGCGGUUUGUCGCGUCUGCCGUGAAAGUCCGGGGCUCAACUCCGGAUCUGCGGUGGGUACGGGCAGACUAGAGUGAUGUAGGGGAGACUGGAAUUCCUGGUGUAGCGGUGAAAUGCGCAGAUAUCAGGAGGAACACCGAUGGCGAAGGCAGGUCUCUGGGCAUUAACUGACGCUGAGGAGCGAAAGCAUGGGGAGCGAACAGGAUUAGAUACCCUGGUAGUCCAUGCCGUAAACGUUGGGCACUAGGUGUGGGGGACAUUCCACGUUUUCCGCGCCGUAGCUAACGCAUUAAGUGCCCCGCCUGGGGAGUACGGCCGCAAGGCUAAAACUCAAAGGAAUUGACGGGGGCCCGCACAAGCGGCGGAGCAUGCGGAUUAAUUCGAUGCAACGCGAAGAACCUUACCAAGGCUUGACAUGAACCGGAAAGACCUGGAAACAGGUGCCCCGCUUGCGGUCGGUUUACAGGUGGUGCAUGGUUGUCGUCAGCUCGUGUCGUGAGAUGUUGGGUUAAGUCCCGCAACGAGCGCAACCCUCGUUCUAUGUUGCCAGCACGUGAUGGUGGGGACUCAUAGGAGACUGCCGGGGUCAACUCGGAGGAAGGUGGGGACGACGUCAAAUCAUCAUGCCCCUUAUGUCUUGGGCUUCACGCAUGCUACAAUGGCCGGUACAAAGGGUUGCGAUACUGUGAGGUGGAGCUAAUCCCAAAAAGCCGGUCUCAGUUCGGAUUGGGGUCUGCAACUCGACCCCAUGAAGUCGGAGUCGCUAGUAAUCGCAGAUCAGCAACGCUGCGGUGAAUACGUUCCCGGGCCUUGUACACACCGCCCGUCAAGUCACGAAAGUUGGUAACACCCGAAGCCGGUGGCCUAACCCCUUGUGGGAGGG